This 100-nucleotide transfer RNA is filed under the name Coniella lustricola. It matches the Rfam family "tRNA". From Rfam's summary of the family: Transfer RNA (tRNA) molecules are approximately 80 nucleotides in length. The record is from Rfam by way of RNAcentral. Lineage: Eukaryota; Fungi; Ascomycota; Sordariomycetes; Diaporthales; Schizoparmaceae.
GGUCCCGUAGCUCAGUUGGUUAGAGCGUCGUACUAAUAAUAUUCGAAAUGAGUAUUACCGUGUAAUGCGAAGGUCGCGGGUUCGACCCCCUCCGGGACCA